AUGAUGUGAGAGAAAAUAGCUUGGGCAAGUCUUCUUUUGAGUGUAAAUGAUCAUAUACAGUAUUGUAAGUGAAUGAGAGCUGCAUGGAUGCCUUUAAAUCUUACAUAAAGGACCAUGGCUUUGCGACAAUGAGAAGGUAUGUGAGAAAGUUGAGCUCUAUGACUAUAAAAGUAGCUCUUUUUGGGAGGCAACCCAUUCAUUGAGUUUUUUAUUUCUUUUAGAUAAUAAAUGCAUGGCACCACCUUAUGAUGAU
Molecule: long non-coding RNA, 253 nt
Filed under: Setaria viridis
Lineage: Eukaryota; Viridiplantae; Streptophyta; Magnoliopsida; Poales; Poaceae
Description: long non-coding RNA (SVIR_LNC007014)
Source: RNAcentral